Molecule: non-coding RNA, 327 nt
Organism: Pelobates cultripes (western spadefoot toad)
Lineage: Eukaryota; Metazoa; Chordata; Amphibia; Anura; Pelobatidae
Source: the annotation of a GenBank genome assembly
GCCCCACCGGGGACAGGGCUGCCGCUCACCCGAGUCACUGGGGGUCAUUACUAAGCACAGCAAUGCUUAUUUACCGGACUGUGAAUGGUUGGUAAUUCUAACAGGGCUAUUUACUAAUGUCCGAAUGACCCGUACUAAGCGGGGCAACACCGCGCCAGAAUGUGGUCUGGAUUUGAGUCGGACUGAAUGGCGCUGGACAGCUGGAACCCGCACCGAAUGCAUCAAACCCAGCCAAGACUGAAAAAUAAAACUAACUUGAUCUCUUUGCCUGCUGGCAGUGCUAGCAACCAGUGAGCAAAUAGUUAAACCCCCCCUUGCUAUCCAGCC